Molecule: long non-coding RNA, 290 nt
Filed under: Setaria viridis
Lineage: Eukaryota; Viridiplantae; Streptophyta; Magnoliopsida; Poales; Poaceae
Description: long non-coding RNA (SVIR_LNC007700)
Source: RNAcentral
AUCAGUCUCCAUGCAUACAUAACCAUUUUUCCAUAGCAUGAAAUACGAUGAGACUGCCUUUUUUCAUGGAGAUAUUCAUUAUUGCGACAUGAGAGCUAUGGAAUCUAAGGAAUGGUAAAAUAUUUGAAGACAACAGUACAACCUUAGGGCUUUGGACUGUGAGGUUCAAGGAACAAAUCAUCCUACACAUGCAUCGUGUCAAGGACGAUCUUAGACCAACAGUUUCACAAUGGCUAGAUAGCUUGAUGUAACUCUCCCACCCUUUCUCUCUCCCCCUAUGUAAGUAUCCC